GACUUGUAUGAUCAUAUAUAUAUAUAGCAGGGGUAUGUUGAUGCUCCUCAGUCCUCACCAUCUGCGUAAUCACGAGUGGGAACAAUUCCGUGAAGGUGUGACGCUGAGGGAAAAGGCACCAAACUCUGAGGGUUACAUUGGUUGAUGUGGGUUUAGACUUUAGACAAGAGUGUUGUUGUUGAUCAAGUGCUUAGUCCAGGAGUUAGAGUCAUGGGAGCCAACCGUGAUUUAGAUCACACACAGGUCAUGUGAAACGGUCUCCUGCACGUGUAGCAGAUCCUCCUCCUCUCCAAGCUUUAUUCUCAGACGCUUCAUUCUAGAUUCUUCACCCAAAGUGAACCAACUUACUUAUGGGCCAAACCAAAACUAACCUCAACCUCCUCUCUUGUUCUUUUCUUCUUCUUUUCGGCCUUGCGUUGAUAUGAUUGGUGGAUGACGUGCUGCCUACGUAUCAGAUUGUUCCGACCUCUAAGCCAAGGGAAGAAACAGGGAUGUAUUGGGGGAUACAAAGUACGAUAUGCAUCACACCUAAGUUCAGUAUUCAAUGAAUUAGCCUACAAUGAAUUGCCCUUUCGAGGUACUCUGCUCUUCAUAUCAUAUUUCCUGAAUGACCUUAUAUUUACUAAUACCAAGCAGGGUGUUUAUAACUUUUGAUGCAAGUUGGCUUUUGAGUUUUAACUUUUGAAUAUAACUAGAGCUUAGAACCUCGUGUUUGUACUUUCUCAGUAGUGAUAAUUUUCUACUCUAAUGAAUUUAUGCAUACUUUUGAAUG
Molecule: long non-coding RNA, 772 nt
Organism: Raphanus sativus (radish)
Lineage: Eukaryota; Viridiplantae; Streptophyta; Magnoliopsida; Brassicales; Brassicaceae
Exons: 4
Source: RefSeq, a predicted model, not a curated record